This is a non-coding RNA of Aedes albopictus (Asian tiger mosquito), 58 nucleotides long. The record is from Rfam. Lineage: Eukaryota; Metazoa; Arthropoda; Insecta; Diptera; Culicidae.
UAGCUUAGUGGUUAAGGCUAUGGAUCACCAAUCCGGAGACGGCGGGUUCGAUUCCCGU